Molecule: ribosomal RNA, 492 nt
Filed under: uncultured bacterium
Lineage: Bacteria
Description: partial 16S ribosomal RNA
Rfam family: Bacterial small subunit ribosomal RNA
Source: RNAcentral
AGUGAACGCUGGCGGUAGGCCUAACACAUGCAAGUCGAACGGCAGCACAGUAAGAGCUUGCUCUUACGGGUGGCGAGUGGCGGACGGGUGAGGAAUACAUCGGAAUCUACUUUUUCGUGGGGGAUAACGUAGGGAAACUUACGCUAAUACCGCAUACGACCUACGGGUGAAAGCAGGGGAUCUUCGGACCUUGCGCGAUUGAAUGAGCCGAUGUCGGAUUAGCUAGUUGGCGGGGUAAAGGCCCACCAAGGCGACGAUCCGUAGCUGGUCUGAGAGGAUGAUCAGCCACACUGGAACUGAGACACGGUCCAGACUCCUACGGGAGGCAGCAGUGGGGAAUAUUGGACAAUGGGCGCAAGCCUGAUCCAGCCAUACCGCGUGCGUGUAGAAGGCCUUCGGGUUGUAAAGCCCUUUUGUUGGGAAAGAAAAGCAGCAGGUUAAUACCCCGCUGUUCUGACGGUACCCAAAGAAUAAGCACCGGCUAACUUCGUG